GAUGAACGCUGGCGGCGUGCCUAAUACAUGCAAGUCGAGCGAACAGACGAGGAGCUUGCUCCUCUAACGUUAGCGGCGGACGGGUGAGUAACACGUGGAUAAUCUACCUAUAAGACUGGGAUAACUUCGGGAAACCGGAGCUAAUACCGGAUAAUAUAUUGAACCGCAUGGUUCAAUAGUGAAAGACGGUUUUGCUGUCACUUAUAGAUGGAUCCGCGCCGCAUUAGCUAGUUGGUAAGGUAACGGCUUACCAAGGCAACGAUGCGUAGCCGACCUGAGAGGGUGAUCGGCCACACUGGAACUGAGACACGGUCCAGACUCCUACGGGAGGCAGCAGUAGGGAAUCUUCCGCAAUGGGCGAAAGCUUGACGGAGCAACGCCGCGUGAGUGAUGAAGGUCUUCGGAUCGUAAAACUCUGUUAUUAGGGAAGAACAAAUGUGUAAGUAACUAUGCACGUCUUGACGGUACCUAAUCAGAAAGCCACGGCUAACUACGUG
RNAcentral lists this ribosomal RNA (497 nucleotides) under uncultured bacterium. RNAcentral describes it as "partial 16S ribosomal RNA". It matches the Rfam family "Bacterial small subunit ribosomal RNA", at positions 28 to 507 of the family's 1533-position model. The record is from RNAcentral.